UACGUAGGGGGCAAGCGUUGUCCGGAAUCAUUGGGCGUAAAGCGCACGUAGGCGGCCCUGUAAGUCCGUUGUGAAAGUCAAAGGCUCAACCUUUGAAUGCCGAUGGAUACUGCAGGGCUAGAGUCCGGAAGAGGCGAGUGGAAUUCCUGGUGUAGCGGUGGAAUGCGCAGAUAUCAGGAGGAACACCGAUGGCGAAGGCAGGUCUCUGGGCCGCAACUGACGCUGAGGAGCGAAAGCAUGGGGAGCGAACAGG
This 253-nucleotide ribosomal RNA is filed under the name uncultured bacterium. RNAcentral describes it as "partial 16S ribosomal RNA". It matches the Rfam family "Bacterial small subunit ribosomal RNA", at positions 524 to 776 of the family's 1533-position model. The record is from RNAcentral.